This 450-nucleotide ribosomal RNA is filed under the name uncultured bacterium. Its description in RNAcentral is "partial 16S ribosomal RNA". It matches the Rfam family "Bacterial small subunit ribosomal RNA", at positions 354 to 796 of the family's 1533-position model. The record is from RNAcentral.
GUGGGGAAUUUUGGACAAUGGGGGCAACCCUGAUCCAGCCAUGCCGCGUGCGGGAAGAAGGCCUUCGGGUUGUAAACCGCUUUUGUCAGGGAAGAAAUCCUUUGGGUUAAUACCUCGGAGGGAUGACGGUACCUGAAGAAUAAGCACCGGCUAACUACGUGCCAGCAGCCGCGGUAAUACGUAGGGUGCGAGCGUUAAUCGGAAUUACUGGGCGUAAAGCGUGCGCAGGCGGUUGUGUAAGAUCGAUGUGAAAUCCCCGGGCUCAACCUGGGAACUGCAUUGGUGACUGCAAGGCUGGAGUGCGGCAGAGGGGGAUGGAAUUCCGCGUGUAGCAGUGAAAUGCGUAGAUAUGCGGAGGAACACCGAUGGCGAAGGCAAUCCCCUGGGCCUGCACUGACGCUCAUGCACGAAAGCGUGGGGAGCAAACAGGAUUAGAAACCCGUGUAGUCC